GGGUUGUGAGGUUAAGCGACUAAGCGUACACGGUGGAUGCCCUGGCAGUCAGAGGCGAUGAAGGACGUGCUAAUCUGCGAUAAGCGUCGGUAAGGUGAUAUGAACCGUUAUAACCGGCGAUUUCCGAAUGGGGAAACCCAGUGUGAUUCGUCACACUAUCAUUAACUGAAUCCAUAGGUUAAUGAGGCGAACCGGGGGAACUGAAACAUCUAAGUACCCCGAGGAAAAGAAAUCAACCGAGAUUCCCCCAGUAGCGGCGAGCGAACGGGGAGCAGCCCAGAGCCUGAAUCAGUGUGUGUGUUAGUGGAAGCGUCUGGAAAGGCGCGCGAUACAGGGUGACAGCCCCGUACACAAAAAUGCACAUGCUGUGAGCUCGAUGAGUAGGGCGGGACACGUGGUAUCCUGUCUGAAUAUGGGGGGACCAUCCUCCAAGGCUAAAUACUCCUGACUGACCGAUAGUGAACCAGUACCGUGAGGGAAAGGCGAAAAGAACCCCGGCGAGGGGAGUGAAAAAGAACCUGAAACCGUGUACGUACAAGCAGUGGGAGCACGCUUAGGCGUGUGACUGCGUACCUUUUGUAUAAUGGGUCAGCGACUUAUAUUCUGUAGCAAGGUUAACCGAAUAGGGGAGCCGAAGGGAAACCGAGUCUUAACUGGGCGUUAAGUUGCAGGGUAUAGACCCGAAACCCGGUGAUCUAGCCAUGGGCAGGUUGAAGGUUGGGUAACACUAACUGGAGGACCGAACCGACUAAUGUUGAAAAAUUAGCGGAUGACUUGUGGCUGGGGGUGAAAGGCCAAUCAAACCGGGAGAUAGCUGGUUCUCCCCGAAAGCUAUUUAGGUAGCGCCUCGUGAAUUCAUCUCCGGGGGUAGAGCACUGUUUCGGCAAGGGGGUCAUCCCGACUUACCAACCCGAUGCAAACUGCGAAUACCGGAGAAUGUUAUCACGGGAGACACACGGCGGGUGCUAACGUCCGUCGUGAAGAGGGAAACAACCCAGACCGCCAGCUAAGGUCCCAAAGUCAUGGUUAAGUGGGAAACGAUGUGGGAAGGCCCAGACAGCCAGGAUGUUGGCUUAGAAGCAGCCAUCAUUUAAAGAAAGCGUAAUAGCUCACUGGUCGAGUCGGCCUGCGCGGAAGAUGUAACGGGGCUAAACCAUGCACCGAAGCUGCGGCAGCGACGCUGAUGCGUUGUUGGGUAGGGGAGCGUUCUGUAAGCCUGUGAAGGUGUGCUGUGAGGCAUGCUGGAGGUAUCAGAAGUGCGAAUGCUGACAUAAGUAACGAUAAAGCGGGUGAAAAGCCCGCUCGCCGGAAGACCAAGGGUUCCUGUCCAACGUUAAUCGGGGCAGGGUGAGUCGACCCCUAAGGCGAGGCCGAAAGGCGUAGUCGAUGGGAAACAGGUUAAUAUUCCUGUACUUGGUGUUACUGCGAAGGGGGGACGGAGAAGGCUAUGUUGGCCGGGCGACGGUUGUCCCGGUUUAAGCGUGUAGGCUGGUUUUCCAGGCAAAUCCGGAAAAUCAAGGCUGAGGCGUGAUGACGAGGCACUACGGUGCUGAAGCAACAAAUGCCCUGCUUCCAGGAAAAGCCUCUAAGCAUCAGGUAACAUCAAAUCGUACCCCAAACCGACACAGGUGGUCAGGUAGAGAAUACCAAGGCGCUUGAGAGAACUCGGGUGAAGGAACUAGGCAAAAUGGUGCCGUAACUUCGGGAGAAGGCACGCUGAUAUGUAGGUGAAGUCCCUCGCGGAUGGAGCUGAAAUCAGUCGAAGAUACCAGCUGGCUGCAACUGUUUAUUAAAAACACAGCACUGUGCAAACACGAAAGUGGACGUAUACGGUGUGACGCCUGCCCGGUGCCGGAAGGUUAAUUGAUGGGGUUAGCGCAAGCGAAGCUCUUGAUCGAAGCCCCGGUAAACGGCGGCCGUAACUAUAACGGUCCUAAGGUAGCGAAAUUCCUUGUCGGGUAAGUUCCGACCUGCACGAAUGGCGUAAUGAUGGCCAGGCUGUCUCCACCCGAGACUCAGUGAAAUUGAACUCGCUGUGAAGAUGCAGUGUACCCGCGGCAAGACGGAAAGACCCCGUGAACCUUUACUAUAGCUUGACACUGAACAUUGAGCCUUGAUGUGUAGGAUAGGUGGGAGGCUUUGAAGUGUGGACGCCAGUCUGCAUGGAGCCGACCUUGAAAUACCACCCUUUAAUGUUUGAUGUUCUAACGUUGACCCGUAAUCCGGGUUGCGGACAGUGUCUGGUGGGUAGUUUGACUGGGGCGGUCUCCUCCUAAAGAGUAACGGAGGAGCACGAAGGUUGGCUAAUCCUGGUCGGACAUCAGGAGGUUAGUGCAAUGGCAUAAGCCAGCUUGACUGCGAGCGUGACGGCGCGAGCAGGUGCGAAAGCAGGUCAUAGUGAUCCGGUGGUUCUGAAUGGAAGGGCCAUCGCUCAACGGAUAAAAGGUACUCCGGGGAUAACAGGCUGAUACCGCCCAAGAGUUCAUAUCGACGGCGGUGUUUGGCACCUCGAUGUCGGCUCAUCACAUCCUGGGGCUGAAGUAGGUCCCAAGGGUAUGGCUGUUCGCCAUUUAAAGUGGUACGCGAGCUGGGUUUAGAACGUCGUGAGACAGUUCGGUCCCUAUCUGCCGUGGGCGCUGGAGAAUUGAGGGGGGCUGCUCCUAGUACGAGAGGACCGGAGUGGACGCAUCACUGGUGUUCGGGUUGUCAUGCCAAUGGCACUGCCCGGUAGCUAAAUGCGGAAGAGAUAAGUGCUGAAAGCAUCUAAGCACGAAACUUGCCCCGAGAUGAGUUCUCCCUGAC
RNAcentral lists this ribosomal RNA (2802 nucleotides) under Escherichia coli. Its description in RNAcentral is "bacterial LSU rRNA". It matches the Rfam family "Bacterial large subunit ribosomal RNA". Lineage: Bacteria; Pseudomonadati; Pseudomonadota; Gammaproteobacteria; Enterobacterales; Enterobacteriaceae. The record is from RNAcentral.